RNAcentral lists this ribosomal RNA (27 nucleotides) under uncultured Clavulina. Its description in RNAcentral is "partial 18S ribosomal RNA". The record is from RNAcentral. Lineage: Eukaryota; Fungi; Basidiomycota; Agaricomycetes; Cantharellales; Hydnaceae.
UCCGUAGUGACCUGCGGAGGAUCAUUA